Molecule: long non-coding RNA, 717 nt
Organism: Astatotilapia calliptera (eastern happy)
Lineage: Eukaryota; Metazoa; Chordata; Actinopteri; Cichliformes; Cichlidae
Source: Ensembl
GAAGAAGCGAAAAACCGCCGCCUGUCCGCCGAAUUUGAAGUCAAUUUAGGAUACUUUCUUUUAAUAAACGAAACUGUGACUCCUUCACAAUGUCAGAUUACCUUGUGGGAGUAGCUGGACCAAACUCUAUUGGUAUUUCAAGUUUGAAAUCCCUGUUUGACCAGACUAACAUUUCAGAUGAGGUAAUAGAUGGCCUAAUCUAUUUGCAGUGUGAGAAUUUCCCUCACAUUUAUCCAAUACCAAGUCAAAUCACUGGAAAAAUUUUGGAUGGGUCCACAAGAGCACAAAAUGCAUACUUUUUGAAGUGUGGAGUUUCUCCAUGGAGACCUUUUCCUUCCUGAGAUAACCUUCACCUUAAUGGGAGCAAUAGUGUCCAUUACAUUUAACAUGUUAGCAUUGAAGCUAUUGACGAGCUCAUUGACUGACCCUCUGGGCAGGUCAGGUGUUAAUGGGAAGACCUGGUUAAAAAUUGCACUACUGUGUUCAGUUAUACACCGUUUUGUGAUCACUGUUGUUGAUAUAUUUGUGUGGGCUGAGAUUUUAAACACAGUAAUGAUCAGACAGGCCCACAUCAGACACAGUAACCUUUGAAAUGCUCAGGCCUUUGGAGAUCAGUAGGUCAAGAGUGUGUCCUCUAUUAUGUGUGGCCUCUGUUACAUGCUGAGUCAGCCCAAAGUUGCCCAGAGUGUUACUCAGGUCUUUAGUCCCUUUGUCCUG